CUCCUGCUCAAUAUACACCACCUUCCAAUUAUUAGAAGAUUUGUUCUAUCUGUACUAGUCCAGCUCAUCAUGUGAGUGAAUGUCCCACAGCUGGACAGUUUCCACCUUUCAUUCAAGAAUAAGUUCAAGCUACCCAAGGUUACUCUAAGCCUGUCAAUGACCUAUUCUCAAACACAUAUAAUCCAGGUUGAAAAAAUCACUCCAAUUUUUUUUAGAGACCUCAACAGACUCAGGCUCAAACCCAAAUUCCUCCUAUGCAAAACUUUCAUAAUAGACCCC
This 279-nucleotide long non-coding RNA is filed under the name Elaeis guineensis (African oil palm). RNAcentral describes it as "long non-coding RNA (EGUI_LNC051397)". The record is from RNAcentral. Lineage: Eukaryota; Viridiplantae; Streptophyta; Magnoliopsida; Arecales; Arecaceae.